AGGAUUGACAAGGCCAUACACAGAAAAGGGAUCUACUGCAGCCCAUGAACAGUGGUAACCUUGAGAAAGGGUACAGCGCCAGGUCUGAACUAUCUGCAUGUGGGAUCCAGAGAUCUUUCUACUCGACUAGACAGCUGGCACCCUGGACACAUUUGCCAGACUCCCUUGGUCUCAUAUGCUGGAAACAGAGCAAGCAGGUUGUGUACAGAAUGUACAAUUUCUGCAGCCUACUACACCCCAUCUGCCUUCAACUUAGUGGAUGCAUCCAUGAACAAGACUCAGGAACACUCAGGAACCUGGAUGCACCAAAGCCACCAGGAACAACAAGGUGGCACAGUCCCUGCAUCUGACACAGCCACAGCUAGAGGGUGACUGGACACUUUUUCCUACACCUCCAAGAUACCUUUACUAUCUGAUGUACUUCUUCUCUAGAAAUACCCUUUUCCCUUUA
RNAcentral lists this long non-coding RNA (451 nucleotides) under Homo sapiens (human). RNAcentral describes it as "HSALNT0280898". Lineage: Eukaryota; Metazoa; Chordata; Mammalia; Primates; Hominidae. The record is from RNAcentral.